Thunnus maccoyii (southern bluefin tuna) is the source of this 914-nucleotide long non-coding RNA. RefSeq lists it as uncharacterized. The transcript is spliced from 4 exons. The record is from RefSeq and is a predicted model, not a curated record. NCBI's taxonomy places the organism in Eukaryota, Metazoa, Chordata, Actinopteri, Scombriformes, Scombridae.
UACACGGAAACGACCCUGAUGUGGACUACAACUACCAGAAGGACGUCAGAGCUCUCAAAGCAUUCUGGGACUUGAAUUUUCUCCAACGCUGCCAUCUGAGGAGGGGAGCCCACAGCGGCCCUCUCUCCCUUGGGAUACCGUGAGAAUACCGUCUCCAAAAAUAGAGGUCUCCUCCUCUCCUUCCAACCAGCUCCUCCAGGCAACACAGACAUGGCAACAGUUAGAGGAUCCUUUAAUGCUGUAGCCAAGAUUGUAAAAAUACUGACGUCAAGUCCCCUCUGCCAUUCCAAUUUUCCUGGCUCUGGCACAGGAAAGUGACCGCUCUUAAUCCUGCCUACAAAGCUCCGGAUACUGAGUCAGAGGUCUAGAACUUGAUGCAAGAACUCGUCACGACAACAUUAGUGACUUUUCAUGACGACACCUGACCUGUUAACCAGGGCUCACGCGCCCACCUGAUAUCCUCAGACUGCAAAUUACGUCUCUCGACAUUUUAGUCCAAAAUCAGUGGGAUUCUCACGUCAGCCACGUCAGACUGCAGGGUCACUGGUUUGACUUUUACUCAAAACUCACUGUGCCCAGACCUCACUCCCACUCAUUUCCAUUACUCACCACUUAUUUAUACUGGUUUCACUUAUCAUAUGAAGGCCAGAACUGAUUGAAGCCACAUUAUUAACAUGUGCACAGAUGACAUAGGUUACAGCGCAUGUUCAAAAAAGCCGAAGUUGAGAUAAUUUCUUCAGUCAACUUUGUCCUGAGCAGUGGGGUCACCCAAAGGAUGAAAGGACCAUAUCUUUUUUAUUGCAUCUGCGACCUCCCUCUGUUACAGUGCACUUCUUCUUUCUUGCUACCAGACUUGUUUUCCGUCUGGCCCUGUAGAUAAUUAGUUGAAAUCAUUCUUUAUUUUUCCAGGUACA